RNAcentral lists this ribosomal RNA (449 nucleotides) under uncultured bacterium. RNAcentral's name for it is "partial 16S ribosomal RNA". It matches the Rfam family "Bacterial small subunit ribosomal RNA", at positions 29 to 523 of the family's 1533-position model. The record is from RNAcentral.
AACGAACGCCGGCGGCAUGCCUAACACAUGCAAGUCGAACGAGACCUUCGGGUCUAGUGGCGCACGGGUGCGUAACGCGUGGGAAUCUACCCUUGGGUUCGGAAUAACAGUUAGAAAUGACUGCUAAUACCGGAUGAUGACGUAAGUCCAAAGAUUUAUCGCCCAAGGAUGAGCCCGCGUAAGAUUAGCUUGUUGGUGGGGUAAUGGCCUACCAAGGCGAGGAUCUUUAGCUGGUGUGAGAGGAUGAUCAGCCACACUGGGACUGAGACACGGCCCAGACUCCUACGGGAGGCAGCAGUGGGGAAGAUUGGACAAUGGGCGACAGCUUGAUCCAGCAAUGCCGCGUGGGUGAUGAAGGCCUUAGGGUUGUAAAGCUCUUUUACCAGGGAUGAUAAUGACAGUACCUGGAGAAUAAGCUCCGGCUAACUCCGUGCCAGCCGCCGCCGUAA